Molecule: ribosomal RNA, 657 nt
Filed under: Crella elegans
Lineage: Eukaryota; Metazoa; Porifera; Demospongiae; Poecilosclerida; Crellidae
Description: eukaryotic LSU rRNA
Rfam family: Eukaryotic large subunit ribosomal RNA
Source: RNAcentral
CACGGACCAAGGAGUGCAACAUGCGUGCGAGUCUUUGGGUGUGNAACCCGUCGGCGCAAUGAAAGUGAAGGCAGGCAUUUUGGCCUGCUGUGGCGAGAGCUCCCUCUGCGGUGGGAGCGCAUCGUCGACCGAUCCCGGGCUACGCUGUGGCGGGAUUUGAGUGAGAGCGUGCCUGUUGCGACCCGAAAGAUGGUGAACUAUGCCUGAAUAGGGUGAAGCCAGAGGAAACCCUGGUGGAAGCUCGUAGCGAUUCUGACGUGCAAAUCGAUCGUCAAAUUUGGGUAUAGGGGCGAAAGACUAAUCGAACCAUCUAGUAGCUGGUUCCCUCCGAAGUUUCCCUCAGGAUAGCUGGAGCCCGGUGCAGUUUUAUCAGGUAAAGCGAAUGAUUAGAGUUCUUGGGGCUGAAACGGUCUCAACCUAUUCUCAAACUUUAAAUGGGUAAGAAGCCCGGCUUGCUCGGUUGAAGUCGGGCGUAGAAUGCCGGGGCUCCCAGUGGGCCAUUUUUGGUAAGCAGAACUGGCGAUGUGGGAUGAACCGAAAGUCGGGUUAAGGUGCCGGAAUCGACGCUCAUCAGAUNCCCAUGAAAGGUGUUGGUUGAUACAGACAGCAGGACGGUGGCCAUGGAAGUCGGAAUCCGCUAAGGAGUGUGUAACAACU